AAACGUCUUUUACACGUAUAUAAAACACUACGCUUUACAAACAUAAACCCUUCGCUUUGAUUGGUCUAAGAAAAUUUGGGUAAAGAGGAUGUUUACGAUGCUGACGCAUUGCAUCAUAACUAUAAGUAAGCAAAUCGUCAAAGAAACGACACAGGGUGAGUGUUUUGUUCAUAUUAUAUUUUCUGGAGUUUGUAUUAUUUGUGCAAUUAUUGUGUUUCUACUAGCAGUUCUUCGUUUGCCAAUAAAGGUUUUGAAAAUUUAAUAAAAGAGGACUCGACCGUCAAACAAUAUAUGGUACGUCGAUUAGCUGCUUUGGGAGGAUCCAAGGUUGAGGCAAUAACAAGACGUAUUAUGAAAUUUCUACUUACUAAUGAGGUAGGGAACCAAUUUAAUUGGAAGGGUCGCCAUAACAAAGUUAGUUUUGAAACCACUGCCAGUAUGGCUAUUGUUUACGAGGCCGCCAGGCUUAAUUUUCCUAUGGCCGAAAAAAACGAUUUAAAGGUAGCAUGGGGCGUAAAGGAGUGGCUAAAGCAUUCAGCCACGCGCAUAAAACAUGGUGAAAGGAUUUAAAUAUUUGCUUCAUCUAUAGGUUACGACGUUUCUGUAAAUGUACAUGUUAUAAACCUUCUUUUUUCUUAAAAAUUAGUUCAGUUGCGUUUAGUCUUAAACAUUGAUUGAGUUAU
RNAcentral lists this long non-coding RNA (683 nucleotides) under Anthonomus grandis grandis. Its description in RNAcentral is "uncharacterized LOC126750330". The record is from RNAcentral. Lineage: Eukaryota; Metazoa; Arthropoda; Insecta; Coleoptera; Curculionidae.